UACGUAGGGGGCAAGCGUUGUCCGGAAUUACUGGGCGUAAAGCGCGCGCAGGCGGCCAUUCAAGUCAGGGGUGAAAGCCCAGAGCUCAACUCUGGAACUGCCUUUGAAACUGUAUGGCUUGAGUAUGAGAGAGGUGAGUGGAAUUCCCAGUGUAGAGGUGAAAUUCGUAGAUAUUGGGAAGAACACCGGUGGCGAAGGCGGCUCACUGGCUCAUUACUGACGCUCAGGCGCGACAGCGUGGGGAUCAAACAGG
RNAcentral lists this ribosomal RNA (253 nucleotides) under uncultured bacterium. RNAcentral describes it as "partial 16S ribosomal RNA". It matches the Rfam family "Bacterial small subunit ribosomal RNA", at positions 524 to 776 of the family's 1533-position model. The record is from RNAcentral.